UGAAACUAGAUCACAAUCACAGCUUGAUGAAUCACCUGGCUUUUGAGCGCAUUAUGAGUUUUUAUUUCAACAUCAAUAUUUUAUCACCACAUAUACAUGAAAGUAUAAGGUAAAGUGCAUUAGUUCUGUUUUAAUCACCUCACUAGUUCAUUUUCAGUGGAUGUUGGAAAUAGUAGUAGAUGAACACGCCAGAUCACUGCAACAACACAGAUACAGUUGCAAUUAUAUCACAAAUUUAACGCUUUUCACAGUAUGAGAUAGCCAGCGAAGAGCGAAGAGAAAGAUUUGUUAACAUUCCUAUAACGUUACGAAGACAUCCGAAUGUUCAGUGAAUUAUUCCACUGUAUCAUUUUUAUCAUUAUGGGAACGUUACUUUUAAAUGUCCUCUGAACGUUCUAAAACAUGUAGUAACAUUUAAAAAACGUUAAACGAACGUUCAACUAAGAUGUUUCAGGAAGACACAUUCUAUGAACGAUGUGUAAAUAAUGUUUCCGUGAGAACAUCAUUAAAGACCAGAUGACUUUGAACGAUUGCUUUAUUAAUGCUACCGGAAGAAUGCUUGUUCGCAACUUUGAGAGAACCUUGCCGCAACGUUUUGAGAACGCUUCCUGUCAGAUGAAUUAGAGAGAGACAGAUAGCAUCUCUAAAUUCUUUAAAAGUUUGAGCUGCAUGUUACGACAUGAACGGGGGAAACACACAACUGCACACACACUUAUUUAUCUUGAGGGAUUUCACUUCAACACAUAGGCUACUACACGCAUACAUGCAUACAUAUAACACUCAUGUCAGAAUGAAAGUUAGUGAGAGGAACCUGAGACAGGAAGCACAGUGUUGAAAUAGUCCGCGGUUAAAACUAAAUUUGACUUUAUAUUAGACACAAAGACACACUAGCAGUAGUUCACUAAAAGUCGAAAGUCUCUCACAUUUACGCUAAAUAUUUAAUAGCGAACACAUACAAUCAUCUGACAUAAAAACCUGUCAGAGCGAGAGCGCGCGCGCGCCCCCGUUUCCGCCCAUAUCUCGCGCGCGCGCGCUCCCGUCGAGAUGCUCGCUUCCGCCUUUGAACGCGCGCGUGACCAAAUAAGGAGCUCUAGAGUGAACUCCGCUCCACCACUGAGAGGAAAUUCACCGCGAAAGAAUAAACCGUCGAUUAUUUCCUCUGAGUCGCGAAGCUACUGCAAACCACAACGGCUUGCGUUCAUAAAACUUUUAGAAAGUUUGCCUUUUCACGCGGCUUUGCACCGAGUUCCGUUAUAACCGGCGCAGAUGCGAGCGCAUCCCGACUCGCGGCGAGUUUUGAAUGAGGAAGAAGGAACAAAUUGAGACAACAGGAAGGUGAGCAAAUAUUGACAGGAGAGUCAUUUUCGAGUGAGUUAUCUAUCGUUGUAAAGCAUCCGACUCGUCAAACAGGCUCCUGCAUGAUGAUAACACACAUGAGUUUGUGUGCUGAAGCUGCUCAGAUUGACACACGUCUUCACCUCUUAAUCAGUCCGAGAUCAUUUUAACUUUACUUUGAGUUAAAUCUGAGUUAAAGUUUAAAGUGUGAGCUGAUCUGGAGUUUGUUGUAAGUCAGGCUGGAGUUUGGCCUUUGGCAGAGCGAUAGAGAAAAAGGAGGCGACAGAAUACAGCAGAACGUGACCACAACAUCCUGUUUGUGAAUCUGCAAGCUGCUUGAUAUGACAGGAAGAGUUACAGAGACGUCUGACCUGAAUGAGAUCAACUGAACUUCAUUCCACUACUGUAUCUGACUGUGAGAAGAUGCUGUGGAGAUCCUCUCACUGUCCAAUCAGCAGACCAGGAGAAAUGACCACUGGAGAAACCAAUAAGACUGUGCCAUGUGAGAGAACGGGGCGGGGCCAGAGCUGUAGCAUUUCGCCCAUCAGCAGAGUGAAUUUGGCAUUUGAAAACUGGGAAACCUGUCAAGAAUGAGUCAAUCUUCACCUUGAAUUCAGAAGAAAGCUAAAAGAGCACUUCUAGAGGAAAGAAAGAUUUUUGCAUUGUGACAUUUGCAUGAAAGUGAAGCAAAAUGUCUGUAUUGCAUUGGUGUUUUAAAUAUGUUUCUUUCAUGAAAAUGAGUAAAGGUUCUUUAUUGGAA
Onychostoma macrolepis is the source of this 2095-nucleotide long non-coding RNA. RefSeq lists it as uncharacterized. Lineage: Eukaryota; Metazoa; Chordata; Actinopteri; Cypriniformes; Cyprinidae. The record is from RefSeq and is a predicted model, not a curated record. The transcript has 2 exons.